UACGGGGGGGCAAGCGUUGUUCGGAAUUACUGGGCGUAAAGGGCUCGUAGGCGGCCAACUAAGUCAGACGUGAAAUCCCCCGGCUUAACCUGGGAACUGCGUCUGAUACUGGAAGGCUUGAGUAUGGGAGAGGGAUGUAGAAUUCCAGGUGUAGCGGUGAAAUGCGUAGAUAUCUGGAGGAACACCGGUGGCGAAGGCGGCUUGCUGGGCCUGAUCUGACGCUGAGGCGCGAAAGCGUGGGGAGCAAACAGG
Molecule: ribosomal RNA, 252 nt
Filed under: uncultured bacterium
Lineage: Bacteria
Description: partial 16S ribosomal RNA
Rfam family: Bacterial small subunit ribosomal RNA
Source: RNAcentral